This 607-nucleotide ribosomal RNA is filed under the name uncultured bacterium. RNAcentral describes it as "bacterial SSU rRNA". The stretch from base 1 to 517 matches the Rfam family "Bacterial small subunit ribosomal RNA", at positions 338 to 873 of the family's 1533-position model. The record is from RNAcentral.
CCUACGGGAGGCAGCAGUGGGGAAUAUUGGACAAUGGGCGAAAGCCUGAUCCAGCAAUGCCGCGUGAGUGAUGAAGGCCUUAGGGUUGUAAAGCUCUUUUACCAGGGAUGAUAAUGACAGUACCUGGAGAAUAAGCUCCGGCUAACUCCGUGCCAGCAGCCGCGGUAAUACGGAGGGAGCUAGCGUUGUUCGGAAUUACUGGGCGUAAAGCGUACGUAGGCGGUUAUUCAAGUCAGAGGUGAAAGCCUGGAGCUCAACUCCAGAACUGCCUUUGAAACUAGAUAGCUAGAAUCUUGGAGAGGUGAGUGGAAUUCCGAGUGUAGAGGUGAAAUUCGUAGAUAUUCGGAAGAACACCAGUGGCGAAGGCGACUCACUGGACAAGUAUUGACGCUGAGGUACGAAAGCGUGGGGAGCAAACAGGAUUAGAUACCCUGGUAGUCCACGCCGUAAACGAUGAUAACUAGCUGUUCGGGCUCUACGAGCUUGAGUGGCGCNGCUACGACAUAAGUUAUCCGCCGUCGGGAGGUACGGUCGCGAAGAAUUAAAACUAACAAAGAAAGUUAGUACGGCGUGAGACGUAGCCGACGGACGACGACGAGGGAGGAGG